This 250-nucleotide ribosomal RNA is filed under the name uncultured bacterium. Its description in RNAcentral is "partial 16S ribosomal RNA". It matches the Rfam family "Bacterial small subunit ribosomal RNA", at positions 524 to 773 of the family's 1533-position model. The record is from RNAcentral.
UACGGGGGGGGCAAGCGUUGUUCGGAAUUACUGGGCGUAAAGGGCGCGUAGGCGGUUUGCUAAGUUGGAUGUGAAAACUCUGGGCUUAACCCAGAGCCUGCAUCCAAAACUGGCAAGCUGGAGUUUUGGAGGGGGAAGCGGAAUUCCUGGUGUAGCAGUGAAAUGCGUAGAUAUCAGGAGGAACACCGGUGGCGAAGGCGGCUUCCUGGACAAAAACUGACGCUGAGGCGCGAAAGCUAGGGGAGCAAAC